CACGUAGGGCGCAAGCGUUGUCCGGAAUUAUUGGGCGUAAAGAGCUCGUAGGCGGACUGUCACGUCUGCUGUGAAAAGCUGGGGCUUAACCCUGGCCUUGCAGUGGAUACGGGCAGACUAGAGGUAGGUAGGGGAGAAUGGAAUUCCCGGUGUAGCGGUGAAAUGCGCAGAGAUCCGGAGGAACCCCAGAGGCGAAGGCGGCGCUCUGGCUCGCAACUGACGCUCAGACACGACAGCAUGGGGAGCGAACGGG
RNAcentral lists this ribosomal RNA (253 nucleotides) under uncultured bacterium. RNAcentral's name for it is "partial 16S ribosomal RNA". It matches the Rfam family "Bacterial small subunit ribosomal RNA", at positions 524 to 776 of the family's 1533-position model. The record is from RNAcentral.